GACGGAGGAUGCAAGCGUUAUCCGGAAUUAUUGGGCGUAAAGCGUCCGCAGGUGGCGAUUUAAGUCUGCUGUCAAAGAACACAGCUUAACUGUGGGCAGGCAGUGGAAACUGGAUUGCUAGAGUGCGGCAGGGGUAGAGGGAAUUCCCAGUGUAGCGGUGAAAUGCGUAGAUAUUGGGAAGAACACCAGUGGCGAAGGCGAUCUACUGGGCCGCAACUGACACUCAUGGUCGAAAGCUAGGGGAGCGUAGGGG
Molecule: ribosomal RNA, 253 nt
Filed under: uncultured bacterium
Lineage: Bacteria
Description: partial 16S ribosomal RNA
Rfam family: Bacterial small subunit ribosomal RNA
Source: RNAcentral